This is a long non-coding RNA of Apis mellifera (honey bee), 469 nucleotides long. RefSeq lists it as uncharacterized. NCBI's taxonomy places the organism in Eukaryota, Metazoa, Arthropoda, Insecta, Hymenoptera, Apidae. The record is from RefSeq and is a predicted model, not a curated record. The transcript is spliced from 4 exons.
AACGAUUUUGUAAAAAAAAAAAAAAAAAUAAGCUUGUUGGAUAUAUUUACAAUACAAGAUUACAAGUCAGCUACUUCAAAUGAUUUCAAAUGGAGGAAAUGCUAUUUUAAUUCCUAAACAAAUUUUAUACAAAAUGUAUAAUACCAUGACACAUUUCAAAGAAUUGUUACAUAUUGUUCCAUCUAUAUGAUAAUGUGUCGUCCUUUUCAUUAUCGGUUAAUGGUGCAAUGAUAGUAAGUACUUCUCUGAGACUGGUACCACACCGUUGUGCGACGCAAAUGUUGAGUCAUCACGUCUGGAAAUAUCAUAAUUACAUCGUUCACGUAUAUACAUAUAUUUUCUUCUUGAGCGUAUAUGGUCUACCAGAAUUGCAUCCGAAGAUUGUGACUCGAAAUUUUAAUUAAGCUAUUAAAUUAUCCUGACUCAACGUCAGUGAAUAUUUUGUUAAUGUUUAAUUAAAAUUAUUUUA